UCCGGUUGAUCCUGCCGGAGGUCACUGCUAUCUGAAUCCGACUAAGCCAUGCGAGUCUUGGGUUAAACCAGGGCAAACUGCUCAGUAACACGUAGUCAACCUGCCCUUAGAUCCGGAAUAAUCCCGGGAAACUGGGGCUAAUGCUAGAUAGGUAACAAAUGCUGGAAUGCUUUGUUACUGAACUAAGGAUGGGACUGCGCCAGAUUAGCUUGUUGCUAGGAUAAAAUCCUGGCAAGGCGAUAAUCUGUACGGGCCUUGAGAGAGGAAGCCCGGAGACGCAUUCUGAGACACGAAUGCGGGUCCUACGGGGUGCAGCAGGCGCGAAACUUUCCCAAUGCGCGCAAGCGUGAGGGAGGGAUUCAGAGUGCUUUCUCGAAAUUCGAGGAAGCUUUUCUAGAGUUUAAACCGCUUUAGGAAUAAGAGGUGGGUAAGACUGGUGCCAGCCGCCGCGGUAAUACCAGCGCCUCGAGUGGUGACCACGUUUAUUGGGCUUAAAGCAUUCGUAGCCGGUUUGGUAAGUUCUUAAUGAAAUCCUGCAGCUGACUGCAGGGCUUGUUAGGGAUACUGCCAGACUCGAGACCGGGAGAGGCUGAGGGUAUUAUUGGGGUAGGGGUUAAAUCCUAUAAUCCCAAUAAGACCACCUGUGGCGAAGGCGCUCAGCCAGAACGGAUCUGACGGUGAGGGAUGAAAGCUAGGGGAGCGAAGGGGAUUAGAUACCCCCGUAGUCCUAGCUGUAAACGAUACCCACUAGACAUUGGCACUCUUAAGGGGGGUGCCAGAGUCGUAGGGAAACCGUUAAGUGGGUCGCCUGGGGAGUACGGUCGCAAGGCUGAAACUUAAGGGAAUUGGCGGGGGAGCACACAAGGGGUGGAGGCUGUGGUUUAAUUCGACUCAACGCGAGGAACCUUACCAGAGGCGACAGCAGAAUGAAGGUCAGGCUGAUGGUCUUACCAGACAAGCUGAGAGGUGGUGCAUGGCCGUCGUCAGUUCGUGCCGUGAGGUGUCGACUUAAGUGUCGUAACGAACGAGACCCGCACCCUAUGUUACGACGGGCUUCUUUCGAGGUCCGGUACUCAUAGGGGACCGCUGGCGAUAAGCUAGAGGAAGGAGCGGUCGACGGCAGGUCUGUAUGCUCUGAAUCCCCUGGGAUACACGCGGCCUACAAUGGAUGGUACAAUGGGAUGCGACACCGAAAGGUGAAGCUAAUCCUCAACCCCAUCCCCGGUUCGGAUCGAGGGUUGCAACUCACCCUCGUGAAGCCGAAAUCCCUAGUAGUCGCUGGUUAGCAUCUAGCGGCGAAUAAGUUCCUGCUCCUUGCACACACUGCCCGUCAAGCCAACCGAGUGGGUUUUUGGCGAGCUCUCAUUUUUUGGUGAGAUCAAGUCACGGAUCUGCGAGGUGGGCUAAGUCGUAACAAGGUA
RNAcentral lists this ribosomal RNA (1421 nucleotides) under metagenome. RNAcentral's name for it is "bacterial SSU rRNA". It matches the Rfam family "Archaeal small subunit ribosomal RNA". The record is from RNAcentral.